UACAGAGGUCUCAAGCGUUGUUCGGAUUCAUUGGGCGUAAAGGGUGCGUAGGCGGCGCGGUAAGUCGGGUGUGAAAUCUCGGAGCUUAACUCCGAAACUGCAUUCGAUACUGCCGUGCUUGAGGACUGGAGAGGAGACUGGAAUUUACGGUGUAGCGGUGAAAUGCGUAGAUAUCGAGAGGAACACCAGUGGCGAAGGCGAGUCCCUGGACAACUCCUGACGCUGAGGCACGAAAGCUAGGGGAGCAAACAGG
Molecule: ribosomal RNA, 253 nt
Filed under: uncultured bacterium
Lineage: Bacteria
Description: partial 16S ribosomal RNA
Rfam family: Bacterial small subunit ribosomal RNA
Source: RNAcentral